CCCUACUUCACGAAAACUCCUUCAUAUAUACUACCGCAUCGGCCUCUCUCCGUUUUUCUAAAAAUUACAAACCCUAGACCACCAGAGAGCUUGUUCCGAUCUCGCCGGAGUUCCGCCGUCGCGAACUCAAAGACGAGAACCACGAGAACACGCAGGCGAGGCCGCCGGAAUUUCGCCGGAACUUCGCUGACUCCAGCCGGGAAUAGCAACUGCUCAGGACGACUACGACAGACUCCGUUGACGCACGCGGCACCACCAAGGAGAGGAGAACCCCGUCAAGGUCUUCGCCAAGCCGGGAAGCACCAGUACACCGUCGCCUUCCACAUCCGACCACCACGUUCAUCUCCGUCUUCGUCCAUCUGAUUUAUUCGGAGUGCGCGAGAAAGUUCACAAAGAAGAAAUCAUCAUCAAAUAUUACUAAGG
Molecule: long non-coding RNA, 423 nt
Organism: Lolium perenne
Lineage: Eukaryota; Viridiplantae; Streptophyta; Magnoliopsida; Poales; Poaceae
Source: RefSeq, a predicted model, not a curated record